CUAAUAAGAGACACAAAAGCUGUACACUUGGACCAAGUCCUAAAACCAAGCACACCUUAACAAUAAGUGCAGAUACCCCAAACUAUUUUCCAUACGGAGAUAGCUGCAAGCUCACAGAUUAUCAUUUGAGCUUGAGGUUAUCACAAAGGUGACCAAGCUCAGGCCGAGCUUUCAUCCAAGCACUGAAUGAGGUUUCGCCUGCGCAAGCAUUGCCAUGAAAAGCAACCCUGUUGAAAAGAUACGACCUGAAAGCUAUCAAGAAAAAAUACCUCCUGCACAAAGCAAAACCAUAUCCAAGCAAUUAGCUACCCUGAACUAUAUGAGUGGACCUAUACUCUAGUCAAAGGGUCCACAAAAAUAAUAAAAUUUAACCCAGCACCACAGAACAAGCAAGAAAUCCUCUAAAAUAAUAUCCUACGCUUGACAAUUUAAUGUAACAAUUGUCGGUGUCUCCUAGAAUUCCACUGUGUCGCAAAGUUUAUUCAGAAGUCCAAACGUGCGUUACAAAUAGGUUCUGAGAAUUAUCAUGAUGAAACGAACGAAAGUCAAACAUGUCUGAGCCACUCACCUGAGGGCAUUGAUACCCAUAUCAAGGACAAAAUCUCUACGUUCAUCUUCUGCAUUAGAAAAGCUAUCCAACUGAACCUUGUACUCAAAAAUGUCAUCUCGCAAAUGCCCAGCUCCACCGCAUCUGUGACAGCAUUCACCAUUUCUACGGCUCGUCAACAUAACAUUGAGAUAUGGAAAUGAACACUAAUAAACUUCAUCAUCAAAAAAUGAGAAUAAAAGUAAAACUCCUCAAUUAGAAUCCAAAAUCUCAAUCCCUAUCGUGAAUAAUAUACGACACUACACAUACAUCCUGCAUCUAAAGACCGUAACCAUAAUAGUACAAUCGAUACACAUAAAAACAGGCUUAGAUAGCUAGUCACUAUUUCGACAAGGUAAAGUGUAUAGGAAGAAAGUGAGAUGUACAAACCGGUCAAUGACUACAUCCACUUCGGUUUUACUAGCUGGCCCACUGGCCAAAACUCGAGUAAGGCUCGAAAUAUCACGGUAGUCUCCCUGUCGAAAGGCCUCCGUAUCAUUGGCAGGCCUUGGGACCAUCCUAUUGUUUGCCAAUGAAUGAGGACUAUUUAUGUCAGCAGACUUUGAGGAUGAUACAGAUAAGCUGGUCAAUUGCAGUUCAGCUUGCAACCUAAGGCAGGUCAUAGACAUUGCGUACGCGAUACCUCCAAAUCCUGUAUGUGAUAUGAAACAGUACUCCACCCCAGGGCCAGCUCUGCAAGAAUAACAGGAUUUGUGACUUGUAAAAUCAAGAGGGUGCCAAAUAUUACAUACAAAGGCAAAAAAUUUAAUUAUUAUUUAAUUUUUUAUUUUUAAAAUGAUUAUAAGAAGUAGCAGAAGAAGAAGAAGAAGAAGAAGAAAAUAAUAAUAAUAAUAAUAAUACACAGAAUUAUUCAACACAAUUUAUUGUCCUCAUGAUAUAUUUAUUCAAGAAUUAAAAAUAACUACUUAUUAGCUUUUAAACCAACAAGCCCUUAUAGCUGAUUAGAGGAACGUACUCAUCCAAGCGCUGGUGAAUGACAUCAACAUCAGAAGCCAAAGCAGCCCUUUCCCUAGUAAGGGGAACACGCUGGUAGUCAACAUUGUAUCCCUCUUGUCUUAAACCGGCAUACACCUCAGCAGGGGUUUGAACAUCCUCAGCACUGAUGACUUCCCAAUAACCGAUGAUGUCUGAAUGACCAGUAAUUGGGUUAUACUCCUCCUUAUGCAGAAGCAUUCGACCUCCUGUGCGCUCAGCUUCUGCAAUAAUGUCGUUCUUCAACCUGCUCUCCAUUUGUUCAACCUGCACAACAAAAUUUAAAAUGCUGAUAAACAGGAAAUACCACAAGAUAAAACCGUUCGGUGCUCUUGCUGGGCAGAAAUUUGCACUUGUCAACUCAUCAGCUGCAUCGAACACCAUGUAAUAAAACCGUCCAAAUCACGAUUAUUUCACUCAACAGGGGUAUCCUUCAACCAUGCUCCAUUAAUACAAAUAAUAAUCAGAGUUACUGAAUUGGUUUUUGAAUAAAAGGAGACUUACCACAUGACCUUUCACACCAACGUGUUUUAAGGUGCUAGCAGGCUGUUCAACUUCGCGAAGAACGAAUGGAUUACCAUGUAUAUACACCACUACUUCUUCGCGUAAAUCCGUCACAACAGCUUUACGCUGCAUCCCACAUGAUGGUUCGGCUAAGAGAUGACUUAAAACACCUUUGGCCCCUUCUAUGGUGGGAGUAGCCAUACUGUGCACAGGAAAUCCCUCCACCUGUCAAGGUAAUGUUUUUAUGGUAUAUUGAUUAGAUAUCAAAAAUGAUAAAAGAUGAAGCAAUUUAUGUAAUUACUCAAACGCAUUAAAAACCCUUUUCGAAAGAAUUCAGAACUCCGAUAAAUGUGUCUUCUCAAGUGACCAAGCACACCUUGCAAACAUGAGGAGCACCAGUAAUCGGAACAUGAUCUGAAGUAGUCUUCUGCCCAGGGAAAAAAUACAUCUUGAGGAUAGAAUGUUUUCCUAAUAUCGACCCGUUGCGCGACUUCACAACAGCUUCCAUUACAGAAUCUUCCAGAUUGUUCUCCCCAUGUGUUUUGAACUCCAUCUCCUGAUACAUCCAAUCAGGGACCAGUUAAGUCUUAAUAGCAAAUGGAAUAACUUUCGCGAUGAUAUGCCACGAUAAGUAUACAUCUCACAAGAUCAUAUGAAAAGAAUGGUGUAAGUUAGAAAAGGAUUGGGAAUAGACUUGCUAACAUUGAUAGUAAACACACGAGUUGGUCUUAAUCGCAUGCUCCAUUUCAUUUGCUUCACUUCAGGAUGACGAUGAAGCCAGGCCUUGAAAGUUGUUCCAGAACCACCUCGACAGUAACCAUCAGAAGCAUCACUGUUCAAAUAAGCAGCGAAACCGAUCAACAUCAAGUAUCGCUCCAGAUACUCGAUACCUCUGGUCAAAGCUGCACGGCGAGCAUAAUGCUCCAGCUUUUGAUCAUUGAAUGCCCGUCGAUAAUGCAAAACAGCUUGCCGCAAAUUUUGCAUAGCAUCGCAAUGGUCAAUUACAGCAUCCAACGCCGCCCGACACGCAGCCCCAUUGUCAAGAAGGCGCGUUAUCUUCCGAACAAUUGGAAUAUCAUCCAUCACAAAUCCAGCUACACAAUUUUGAUCCUCAAACCUGUUCGCUGGCCUAUCCACAUGUGUGUCAAUGUUUACCUCCUCUCCACUACUUGAACAGCUCUCUGGUUCCACCUUUUGUAGGGGUAAACCAGGCGUACUCUGUAGGAAUCCUAUCUCGAGUCGCAAAAGUACCAGGCACGCUGUCACCAUCCCAGUUGUAGUGCGACCUCGCCCCAUCUAAAUCACAAGAAGGAAAAUUUAAUAAGAUCACAUGAAGCCAAGCUACGAUGAUCACUGCAAUUAUAUUAACCAGAGAAAGCAUUCUCAAGCAUUCAUGGGGCUUGCCUGACAGUUGAAGACGAAGGCCGUGUCCCUAGGAGCAGCUGCAAUGCGAGCGGCGAGAGCACUGAAAUCGGAACUUUUAGGAGCUUUGCCAUCAGUAAUAGGAACCCUGCCAUAUUCGACGCGGACACCUUCGGCUUUCAAGCACUCAAAAACUUCUAGGGGUGUCUGAACAACACCCGGACCAACAGGCUCCCACGCAUCAAAAAUGAGCCCGUCCUCUGUCUCAUGAUUUACCAUUAUAGCACCUGAAUAGCGCUCAGCUUCCCGUAGAAUGUCAUCCUUCAAUCGAGCUUCCAUCUGCUCCACUCUUGCCGUGUCUAUGCCCUGCGAGUCCAUACACCAACAUCAGCACAUAUUCCUCUCAAAUCUAACCACAAAAGCGUGACAUAUAUAAUCUAGUCACACAACCAAGCUAAACAACAGCACUCACAUUCCAAAGACUUUAGAACAGAGCACAAGUCAACUCGAAAAAUAUUUGAUCCGUUCAGGAAGAAAUCAAACCGUAAACAAUAUACCCAUACUUCACUUCAUUUUGGCGAUAACACGUCAAGGAAAUGAGACCAAAUCAAAAUCAAAAUAAAAAUAAAAAUAAAAAUAAAAGAAAAAAAGAAAUGAACUAUACAAAUGAUAAUGUUAACUGAAAACUUACUUCAUAUUCAAGCAUAUUCUUGUAGGGACGCUCAACUUCGCGCAGGACGAAUGGCUUCCCAUUGAUAUAUACCACAGGCUCCUCCCUCAUAUUGUGCCAUAGCACAGGUCGCUCAUUGCUACCUUCGCUAACUCUUUCCAAUACAGCAUGAAUACCUUGAACUGUUGGAUUCGCAACGCCGUACACGGGGAAGCAGUCGAUCUCCCUAAAAUUAGGAGCACCUUCCAAUAGCUCUGGAAGAAACUGGUUUUGACAACCAGGACAGUGGUCACUUUUGAGCACUGUCUGCCGCCCUAGAACUUCUCCAUUCCUGCUGGCCACGACAUUUUCCAUCCUGCUGGGACGCCCAUCUGUAACUUUUGAAGGCAUUUUGAUAGUGCCCACUGGGGUGUUACUGUAACCUAACGCACCCAUUGGAUCCCGCCUCAGCAACCUGUCAAUACAGUACAUUGGCAAUAUACAAGAAGAAUUUUCAUAAGAAACCAAUAGAUGUUCAAUUUUCAGUCGAAUGCCAAGCACAAAACUAAAAUAUGGAAUACCUGCGAAGAAUGCUGUAGAGCUCUGGCCGAUCGCGCAUCCACUGUUCAAAACCGCCUUGACCUGGUCGGUGUGUAGAGCCCAAGCAAGUUUUGUCGGUGUGAAUGUAAACAGCGAAGCAGAUGAGGAAGUAGUAUCGCUCUAAAUACUCCACAAAGAAUGAGAGUCCUGCCGCCCGCUUUUUCUCAUCAGCUUGCCUCACGAUACUACUUCGAUAACUGGCAAUGGCCUCCCGCAAGUUCUGCAUUUCAUGACGCUUGAGUCCUUUUAUAAAUAAAAUAAUAUAUAAUAAAAUAAAAUUUGAAAGACGACCAGCGGUACUCAGGAUACAAUCCAAUGCCUUUAAGGAUGCUAUUCCAACAUUUGAACAUCAUACAACUCAUAAUACCUGCAUUGCUGAGCAGCUAUCAAUAACUUUAUCGACCUGACGUUUCCCUUCUACUCCCCCCUGUUACAAACCCAUGUAAUCACACAUUAGCAACUGAACCUCACAAUGGUGAAGAAACAGUAAGCAGAAAAAUCAUUCAAGCUGAUGUGUCGCUGAAGGAAAGAAACUCAUAGAAACGCAGUCAGGGAGGAUACUCUUAUUUAGCCAAAAAAGAGACGAGUACUUGCAGAGCACGGUCUAUAUCUCUACUUAUAUGCUCACCUCCAAUACCCGGAUAAGACUACGAAUUACAGCAUAUUCUCCUCUUCUCAGAGCCUCUUCGGUGUCUGGUACGUCAUAUACCAUUUCAUCCCUCGCCUCAUGAAUCGUUCCCAUCGAACUUGACCGAGGAAGCCCUGCAAUGGAUUCAAUAAUAUUCAUGAAUGUCUUAUCUAGCAAUCUAUGACAUGUUCCAUCGAGUUCUUAAAUGAUGGAAUGUUUCUGGUUACUAAAAUCUUCACUAAUGAAUCAACUAUUAAUAGUCCAGUAAAACAUAAUAAAAACAGUCUCUGACACAACCUCUAAAUCGAGAACUUGCCCGAGUCUGAGCUCUGGUUCAUAUUAAAGGAACCUAUUUCAAACUAGCAGAGCGAAAAUAGUGAGAAAAGCUUAAGUUUUCACAAGACCUGAAGCCCCCAUGCGCUUAAAAUGAAUCAAAGUAGCAAUGACCAUGCCCGUAGUAGUGCGACCGCGGCCCAUUUGGCAGUUGAAUACCAGCUUGGUGCCAAAUUCAACUUGCGAAAGACGCUGCACCUGCAGCAAAUAACAGCAGUCAUGCGAAGAUCAUACAUCAUCAUCAAUGACCAGGCCAUACACAAGAUCGGACAACAGACUCUUCUGCUUGAAACAAGUAACCUGAGAAAAAACUUACCAGAGAGUCAAAGUCGCGCACUUUCGGUGACUUUUCAUCCGUGAUAGGAAUUCGCUCGUAAUCGACCAAGUAACCUUCUGCCUGUAGACUCUCGUAAACCUGAAUACACCGUUUAAUCUUUAAGUCUCUACAUUGAAUGCUACCAAGUAGUAAAAUAAAACAAAAUCUAAAUAGGAAAUUACAAAUUUAGGUAUGAGAAUACCUCAAAAGGUGUUUGAAUAGAGUUUGGGCCCACUGGCUCCCAUUGAUCUAUCAUCUGACCAUCAGGAAGCUCA
RNAcentral lists this long non-coding RNA (6246 nucleotides) under Physcomitrium patens. Its description in RNAcentral is "long non-coding RNA (PPAT_LNC003609)". The record is from RNAcentral. Lineage: Eukaryota; Viridiplantae; Streptophyta; Bryopsida; Funariales; Funariaceae.